AGGCCGUCACAGCCGGCGGCGGCGCGAUUGGAGGAUCCGCCACCACGACACAGUCGCGCGAUUGGCAGACUAGUUCGGUUGGUUCCUCAAUCGGGUUCCAAGAAAGAAGAUGAGUGCGGCGGGUGCGAAGAGGUCCGGCCGAGAUGAUCCCUUGGCCUUGCCGGAGAAGAAGAAGAAGGUGAUUGUGUGGAGAGAUCCGGACGCGUGGGUUAUCAGCGAUGCCGACUUGGCCAAGAUGAAACGCGACGAGGAAUCAGCUCCCCCGCCUGUGAAAAUCUCUUCGCCGUCAGUGAAUCUGGAAGCAAGGCCGUGCUCUCUGCUGCCAAAUUCCUUCUAGGGGUUUCAUCCUCUCUUGGUACUAGAUGACCAGUUGCGCCAAUGGCGUAAAGGCUAAGGGUAAGCCAUGUAUUAAAAGAGUGUACAUUAAUAUUAUUCGGGGACAUAUUGAAACAUAUGAGAAAAAUUUCCACUUACUAUAAGUACAAGCGAUGCAA
Molecule: long non-coding RNA, 494 nt
Organism: Triticum dicoccoides
Lineage: Eukaryota; Viridiplantae; Streptophyta; Magnoliopsida; Poales; Poaceae
Exons: 2
Source: RefSeq, a predicted model, not a curated record